AUAGAUGAGGUACAGAAGUGUCCAGCAACACAGCCUGGGCCUAUUUCAUCAUCUCACCAAACAAGAAGACAGCCUGCUUCUCGCUUGACAGAUCAAGGAAGGAGGAGGUGGAGGAGAUGACAGAACAACAAGAUCUGCAGAAAGAACAUCCAUGAUCUGGUGGCAGGUGCCCAAGCCAUGUGCCCUCCCAAUACCCACAACUGGAGUCUCUUUGCUAGAGAGACCUACGACGAACACAACAAAAUCAUCGGAAUCCAGGACUCCCCACUUGAAGGAUGCUGAACUAGGAUGGAAAUUACCUCUACACCCCGAUUGCAUCUCCACUAUCCCUGGCCCAUUCCUCUGCUUUCCUUAUUGCAACACAGAGGUGAUAGCCUAUGAUGGAAGGGAAGCCCUGGCAGAAUUGACACUGCAGUGGGGAGUCCAGGCUGCUGGAACCAGAGAAUUGAUAUCCCACAAGCCUAAUGUUCAGCUACCUGCUUCUGCCACCAAUUUCUCAUCUUCUAAAGGCUCCAUAAACGCCCAAAACAGUGCAAAGCAACUAAGGAUCAACUGAUCAAACAUUUGUCCCUAUGGUGGACAUCUUAUAUUCAACCCGUGACAAAGAAUUUAUAUUAACAAGACAACCGUUUUACAAGUUGUUGGUGGUGACACUGUUGGGUUUUGACUUUAAAGCAGGGUGUUACUAUAGCCCAGACUGGCCUUGAAUACACAGUGUAGCCCAGCAUUGGCUGGCCUGGAAGUCAUGGGAAUCCUCCUGUCACCUCUUUUCAAUUGUUGGAACUGUAUGCAUAAAUGUUGAAAUUAUAAGCACCAUGCUUGGCUUAAGACAACCUUCAUUAUCUCGCAUUCCCUUCCCUGAUUCUGUCAUAACUUCUAUUGCCACACUCCAACCCAAAAGAUUCUCCUCCUUGCCUGUCCCCAGAUCUAAAUGCUGGAUGAACAGCUAUCCCAUGCAUCAAUUCAAACCAGGUACACUAGAUGAUUAUGUUCCCCUGAUUGUUGGCACAGUCUUUCCCAAGUACCUAAUUAAAUACGGUUUUCCUCUUGUC
RNAcentral lists this long non-coding RNA (1052 nucleotides) under Mus pahari (shrew mouse). RNAcentral's name for it is "lncRNA (MGP_PahariEiJ_G0004419.1)". Lineage: Eukaryota; Metazoa; Chordata; Mammalia; Rodentia; Muridae. The record is from RNAcentral.